RNAcentral lists this ribosomal RNA (204 nucleotides) under Delftia sp. 12(shui). RNAcentral describes it as "partial 16S ribosomal RNA". It matches the Rfam family "Bacterial small subunit ribosomal RNA", at positions 328 to 524 of the family's 1533-position model. The record is from RNAcentral. Lineage: Bacteria; Pseudomonadati; Pseudomonadota; Betaproteobacteria; Burkholderiales; Comamonadaceae.
AUUCGGGGGGCCUACGGGAGGCAGCAGUGGGGAAUUUUGGACAAUGGGCGAAAGCCUGAUCCAGCAAUGCCGCGUGCAGGAUGAAGGCCUUCGGGUUGUAAACUGCUUUUGUACGGAACGAAAAAGCUCCUUCUAAUACAGGGGGCCCAUGACGGUACCGUAAGAAUAAGCACCGGCUAACUACGUGCCAGCAGCCGCGGUAAU